UUCAACAUACACACACACUCGACAAAAACAUGAUAAAAAUUGCAUGUACAGGCAGAUUAAGAAAAGCAGGUGCAAGAUAUGGAAUUGGCCUCAGGAACUCUCAAUUUGGACUUAAAAGUGCUCAAGGAAAUCAACUCAGUUAGUUUCCAGUCUUUCUGUCAAAAUAAAAAAGGAAAUGUACAAUCACAAU
This is a long non-coding RNA of Sphaeramia orbicularis (orbiculate cardinalfish), 190 nucleotides long. RefSeq lists it as uncharacterized. The record is from RefSeq and is a predicted model, not a curated record. Lineage: Eukaryota; Metazoa; Chordata; Actinopteri; Kurtiformes; Apogonidae. The transcript is spliced from 4 exons.